Peromyscus maniculatus bairdii (prairie deer mouse) is the source of this 242-nucleotide non-coding RNA. NCBI's taxonomy places the organism in Eukaryota, Metazoa, Chordata, Mammalia, Rodentia, Cricetidae. The record is from RefSeq and is a predicted model, not a curated record.
GAAGACACUCAGUUGCUUGAGUUUGUGGAAGACUUAUUAGUAAAGGCUGUGAACGACAGGGAACCAACGAAAGACUAAAGUAAAGAAAUUGCCGAAGUCCCACUUGAUAUCACACAUUUAUUGGGACUUAGCUGCUGAGUCGCCAGGCCUAAAAGGCAGCAGAAAGAAGGCAGGAGAAAAUCCCCACGGCAUCCUAACUAUAAUGAGUUCCUUCUGCCAUCACCUGUAGAGAGAGCACAGGC